This 434-nucleotide ribosomal RNA is filed under the name uncultured bacterium. RNAcentral's name for it is "partial 16S ribosomal RNA". It matches the Rfam family "Bacterial small subunit ribosomal RNA", at positions 29 to 507 of the family's 1533-position model. The record is from RNAcentral.
AGCGAACGCUGGCGGCAGGCCUAACACAUGCAAGUCGAACGAACCUUUCGGGGUUAGUGGCGGACGGGUGAGUACCACGUGGGAACGUGCCUUUAGGUUCGGAAUAACUCAGGGAAACUUGUGCUAAUACCGAAUGUGCCCUUCGGGGGAAAGAUUUAUCGCCUUUAGAGCGGCCCGCGUCUGAUUAGCUAGUUGGUUGAGGUAAUGGCUCACCACGGCGUCGAUCAGUAGCUGGUCUGAGCGGAUGAUCAGCCACAUUGGGACUGAGACACGGCCCAAACUCCUACGGGAGGCAGCAGUGGAGAAUCUUGCGCAAUGGGCGAAAGCCUGACGCAGCCGUGCCGCGUGAAUGAUGAAGGUCUUAGGAUUGUAAAAUUCUUUCACCGGGGACGAUAAUGACGGUACCCGGAGAAGAAGCCCCGGCUAACUUCGUG